GACGAACGCUGGCGGCGUGCUUAACACAUGCAAGUCGAACGGAAAGGCCCUGCUUUUGUGGGGUGCUCGAGUGGCGAACGGGUGAGUAACACGUGAGUAACCUGCCCUUGACUUUGGGAUAACUUCAGGAAACUGGGGCUAAUACCGGAUAGGAGCUCCUGCUGCAUGGUGGGGGUUGGAAAGUUUCGGCGGUUGGGGAUGGACUCGCGGCUUAUCAGCUUGUUGGUGGGGUAGUGGCUUACCAAGGCUUUGACGGGUAGCCGGCCUGAGAGGGUGACCGGCCAAAUGGGGACUGAGAGACGGCACAGACUCCUACGGGAGGAAGCAGGGGGGAAUAUGGCACAAUGGGCGGAAGCCUGAUGCAGAAACGCCGCGUGCGGGAUGACGGCCUUCGGGUUGUAAACCGCUUUCGCCUGUGACGAAGCGUGAGUGACGGUAAUGGGUAAAGAAGAACCGGCUAACUACGUG
This 468-nucleotide ribosomal RNA is filed under the name uncultured bacterium. RNAcentral's name for it is "partial 16S ribosomal RNA". It matches the Rfam family "Bacterial small subunit ribosomal RNA", at positions 28 to 507 of the family's 1533-position model. The record is from RNAcentral.